This 300-nucleotide ribosomal RNA is filed under the name uncultured Ferroglobus sp. Its description in RNAcentral is "bacterial SSU rRNA". It matches the Rfam family "Bacterial small subunit ribosomal RNA", at positions 496 to 795 of the family's 1533-position model. The record is from RNAcentral. Lineage: Archaea; Methanobacteriati; Methanobacteriota; Archaeoglobi; Archaeoglobales; Archaeoglobaceae.
GCUAACUGGGGGCGAGGAGCGGCGUGAGUGCUGAGGGGGGGUUCGGUAAUGGGUUGUAAUGGGCGUGAAGUGUGGGUAGUCGGCUGAUUAAGUCGGAUGGGAAAGCCCUGAGCUGAACUUAGGAAUGGCAUUCGAGACUGGUCAGCUAGAGUAUGGGGGAGGAUGGUAGAAUUCCAGGUGUAGCGGUGAAAUGCGUAGAGAUCGGGAGGAAUACCGAUGGCGAAGGCAGCCAUCUGGCCUAAUACUGACGCGGAGGUACGAAAGCAUGGGGAGCAAACAGGAUUAGAUACCCCAGUAGUC